AGAGGUGGCAGAUGAACUAAAUAGAGGUCACUCCCACAGGCUUCGUUAGACAUAUAGCAGAGAAGAAAAUCAUUUCCCCCUUCACAUCUACUUAGCAGGCUCAAGAAUUAAGCAGGAGCAACUACUCUAAAAAAAAUGAAUAAGAAAAAUCCCAACGGCCGCCGUGAGAUAAUAACCCAUGAUGCUGAUGGCUUAAAACAUUUUUGGGAGAAAAAAAUAGAAAAUCAAACAACAGAAUACAAAUCUGAACACGAGCGGAAAAAUAAAAGUGCCCUUUCAAAGCUACGUGGAGAAUGGACACAAAGGCUGGAAUACAGGCUCAGAAUGCUGCAGUCUUUCCACGAGGACCAAAAGAAGCAGCUUUAUGGAGAAGCCCAGCAGAACAAUGCAAAUACGGCAGCCUAAUAUCCACAAAUAUAAACACCAAAUCUUGACUUUUAUAUAAAACAUGUUUGUGCCCAAAAUAUAUAUUUUGCCAACUAUAGUCAGUCUGUAAAAAUGCAAUAAGCUAUAUAAAGUCUUUCAGAUGGCGUCAAGUACUGAUAAUCACCAUCUUCCAGUCAAAAUAUAACAGUUAAUCAUGGCUUACUGCAUAGAUUUUAUUUUAGAGCAGUAGAAGGUAAAUAGCACUUAGCUACAGGGAAAUAACAGGUGGAAACAUGGAGAAAUUUAAGCAGCAAUCUUUACCACACAGAGUGAAGAGAAGAUAUCUGAAAGAUCUAAGGGAGGUUGUGUAAUUACAGGAACAAUGUUUUUUUUUUUUUGGUGGAACCUAUAGUAACCAAUUAGAAGAUGUAAUUUACUGGCCUGCAGUUUAAAAACAAAAAUCUGAUAAGUUGCUACAGGUUUUGAGUCCUUGUUAUUACACUGACACUGGUCUAAUCAGCUGUUUGCAAUAAGAAAACGUAUCAGCAGCAGGUUGCAGAAAAGGUACAGUAGUUUGGGUCAUUAACAGUAGGUAGGUACUUGGCAGUGGCAAUGCAGAAUGUUAUACAGAAGAGUAACGUGAAAUGAAAACUGUUAUUUUUCACUAAAGUGGAAAACUGGUAUAAAUAUAGGAAAGAAAAGCAAUGCAUUACAAUUUAGCAAGGUAAUACUGCUUAGACUGUAAGCUCUUCUGGGCAAGGAACUCCUUGGUAGUUUGCAACGAAUAAAAAUAUACAUUAUUGUUCUUUCUUAAAUAAAUUGUAUAUUUUAGCCUGCUUCUCUUUCUUGGAAAGCACUGUGUAUUGCAUAAAUAAACUCAUAUGUUAUUGUUGA
This is a non-coding RNA of Xenopus tropicalis (tropical clawed frog), 1260 nucleotides long. The record is from RefSeq and is a predicted model, not a curated record. NCBI's taxonomy places the organism in Eukaryota, Metazoa, Chordata, Amphibia, Anura, Pipidae.